Long non-coding RNA from Corythoichthys intestinalis (scribbled pipefish), 1364 nucleotides. RefSeq lists it as uncharacterized. The transcript has 5 exons. NCBI's taxonomy places the organism in Eukaryota, Metazoa, Chordata, Actinopteri, Syngnathiformes, Syngnathidae. The record is from RefSeq and is a predicted model, not a curated record.
CAAAGCCCAACAGAUGGAACUUUCACAUGGCCGGAGUUCUCUGUUCAGCCUAAAUUUGCAUUGCUGUUGUUUUGACAGAUUGUUCACAGCUGCCCUGCUGUCCGCAGGGCGUUACAAUGACCGGCCUGGAUUUUCAUUUGACCCUUCGGGAUCCGCCUCGCCCUUUUGAGGUAUUCGGCUGUGGCCGUCCUCCAACUGAUGCUUUGUGCUUGCCGUUUGCCUGAGGAAUUUCAAAGGAACAAAAUCCAGGACCCACAGCAGCCCUUGAGGACCACUUUGGACACCCCUGGGAUGUAGGAUCAGAAUCAACAUAGAUUUCCUAUCGACUUAAUACUCAUCUAUCAGAACAAGAAUCAGGACCCACAGUGGCCCUUGAGGACCGAUUUGGAGUGGACACCCCAGGCUAAGCGGGACCUCUACUGCUUUAUAAAAGAUUUAUGUUUGAAUUUUGGGGGCUUGGAACGGAUUUGAGCAUUUACAUGGAAAACGCGUCUCUACUUACGGAAUUUCCAGUUUAUGAAACCACUUCCAGAACCAAUUAAUUUUGUAAGUAGAGGUACCACUGUAUGUUGCACUCACAACAACAUAUGUGUAUGUAUAACUAUGUACAUUUUUUACAUUACUAUAAAUUAAGGGAGUUUCAGAAAGGAUGACAAACCUGAAAAAGACUGUUUUUUUAUCAAAUGGUUGAGCAUUUGCUCCACAAAACAAAAAUGCAAAUAGGGGAAUUUGUGACUAGUGGAAGCCUAUAACAAAAUGCGCUUAGUCACUGUGAAAUCUGGACGUGUUUAGUUCAAAACAAAGCUAUUUUGUCGUAUAAAUUGGCGACAGCGGGAUACAAUUAAAGUUUACUGUUUGUUUCAUUGUUAAUUGUACCCUCUGUGGAAGAGCAUUUAGUUGUUCUGCCUGUGACGUUACAGCUCCGCUGGCACAGACAACAGCAGGCAUUUUUAAAGCGUUUACUAUACUAAAACAAAUCCGGGUUACAACAAAAGUCUGACACACAUCGCAGACCUCCAACAAGGCUUACUAAGGAUGUGGAUGCAUCAUCUUGUGUGACGCCAACUCACCUGUGGCUCCAGUGAGGAUCACCAUUACAAUAAAAGCAAGGAUGGAUGGGAUUUGAAUGACUUGAAUAAGCAAAUGUUACCACCAUUGGAAUAAUGUACUGCAACCACCUGUAUAUAAAGUCGACUUUUUCGCACUGUGAACAGAUUUGGUGUUGAAGUCAUUUGUUCUUGGUUAUUGUCAUUAUUGCGAUCAUGAAAAUAUUUAGAUAUUAAAUUUGGAAUUCUAUUCAUAUUUAAGCGCUGAAAUGGCUGGAUAUUUUGAAAGAGACAAUAUUUUGGCUAUCAGUUUUGUAC